RNAcentral lists this ribosomal RNA (576 nucleotides) under Triticum aestivum (bread wheat). RNAcentral describes it as "partial small subunit ribosomal RNA". The record is from RNAcentral. Lineage: Eukaryota; Viridiplantae; Streptophyta; Magnoliopsida; Poales; Poaceae.
AUGACCAAGGAGCAGCUCCUGGAGUUCGCGUGGGGGCUGGCGAAUAGCGGCAGGCAGUUCAUGUGGAUCAUCCGGCGUGAUCUCGUCAGGGGCGACGCGGCGGUGCUUCCUCCUGAGUUCAUGGCAGAGACGGCAGGCCGCGGGUUCAUGACGUCCUGGUGCCCGCAGCAGGAGGUGCUGAACCACCCGGCUGUAGGCGUGUUCUUGACACACAGCGGCUGGAACUCGACAAUGGAUAGCAUGUGCGGCGGCGUGCCAGUCAUCAGUUGGCCCUUCUUCUCGGACCAGCUUACCAACCGUCGGUACCAAUGCAACGAGUGGGGCGUCGGCAUGGAGAUCGACAACAACGUCCAGCGCAACGCCGUCACAGGCCUUAUCACGGAACUCAUGCAGGGUGAGAGUGGAAAGAAGAUGAGGAAGAGGGCAGAGGAAUGGCGGGAGAAGGCAAUCUUGGCGGCCAAGCCCGGCAGUUCGUCUCACCGCAAUCUCAAAGAGCUCCUCUGUGAUGUAUGCCUAAGAAAUAGUUCAGAUCUUCCAUGUGUAGUUUUUUUAAAGGACUUCCUUGGACGACUGUGA